Molecule: ribosomal RNA, 263 nt
Filed under: uncultured prokaryote
Description: partial 16S ribosomal RNA
Rfam family: Bacterial small subunit ribosomal RNA
Source: RNAcentral
UACGGAGGAUGCAAGCGUUAUCCCGAUUUAUUAGGUUUAAGGGUGCGUAGGUGGGCGUUUAAGUCAGUGGUUAAAGCCAAUAGCUUAACUAUUGUAUGCCAUUGAAACUGGAUGUCUUGAAUAGGGUAGAGGUAGGCGGAAUGUGUUGUGUAGCGGUGAAAUGCUUAGAUAUAACACAGAACACCGAUUGCGAAGGCAGCUUACUAUGCCUUUAUUGACACUGAUGCACGAAAGCGUGGGGAUCAAACAGGAUUAGAUACCCU